RNAcentral lists this unclassified non-coding RNA (499 nucleotides) under Hevea brasiliensis (rubber tree). Lineage: Eukaryota; Viridiplantae; Streptophyta; Magnoliopsida; Malpighiales; Euphorbiaceae. The record is from RNAcentral.
CCUCAACCGAAAAAAGAAUAGUUCAUUCAACCAAUUUCAUUCCAUUAACAUCAUAGAAGAUUUCACAAAAGAAAAUUUUCUCCAACACAUUUUAGCCAUCAAGUCCAAUUUAGCCUUAUCCUUGCAAGCUUUUCACAACGGAAUUAGCCUAAUCAAACUUCUCAUAAUACAUUCGAAAUUUCUAUUUUACGUUUAUUUUCCAUGUAAUUCACUUAUCCAACAUUGGCAAGGCAACAAGAUACCUCAUCCGCUGAAAAUAAAAAAUUUGGCAUCACUACAUCAAGGUAAAUGUCAAAACUUUUAAAAUCCAAACGUCUACAACUUCGCUGCGUCCAAAGUGACGAUAAAACACAACAUGCCCAUUUCCUAAUUCGAUGUUAGGUAAUCCCUCAAACAACUAAUAUUUCUGAAUAUGCAUAAAACAAGGUAUUGACUUUCUCAUGCUUCACUCAUCCCAGCCAGUAGCAGAUGCAGGAGCUACUUCACCAGCAAAAUGAGG